CAGUAGCCGCGGUAAUACGAAGGGGGCUAGCGUUGUUCGGAUUUACUGGGCGUAAAGGGCGCGUAGGCGGGCGAUUUAGUCAGGGGUGAAAUCCCAAGGCUCAACCUUGGAACUGCCUUUGAUACUGAUCGUCUUGAGUUCGAGAGAGGUAAGUGGAACUGCGAGUGUAGAGGUGAAAUUCGUAGAUAUUCGCAAGAACACCAGUGGCGAAGGCGGCUUACUGGCUCGAUACUGACGCUGAGGCGCGAAAGCGUGGGGAGCAAACAGGAUUAGAUACCCCGGUAGUCCCUGUCUCUUAUAC
This 301-nucleotide ribosomal RNA is filed under the name uncultured bacterium. Its description in RNAcentral is "partial 16S ribosomal RNA". It matches the Rfam family "Bacterial small subunit ribosomal RNA", at positions 509 to 807 of the family's 1533-position model. The record is from RNAcentral.